GAGCGAGGAACUUCGGUUCCUAGCCGGCGGACGGGUGAGUUAACGCGUGGGANCGUGCCCUUUGGUUCGGAAUAGCCCCGGGAAACUGGGAGUAAUACCGGAUAAGCCCUACGGGGGAAAGAUUUAUCGCCAAAGGAUCGGCCCGCGUCUGAUUAGCUAGUUGGUGGGGUAACGGCCUACCAAGGCGACGAUCAGUAGCUGGUCUGAGAGGAUGAUCAGCCACACUGGGACAGAGACACGGCCCAGACUCCUACGGGAGGCAGCAGUGGGGAAUAUUGGACAAUGGGCGCAAGCCUGAUCCAGCCAUGCCGCGUGAGUGAUGAAGGCCUUAGGGUUGUAAAGCUCUUUUGUCCGGGACGAUAAUGACGGUACCGGAAGAGUAAGCCCCGGCUAACUUCGUGCCAGCAGCCGCGGUAAU
RNAcentral lists this ribosomal RNA (418 nucleotides) under uncultured bacterium. RNAcentral describes it as "bacterial SSU rRNA". It matches the Rfam family "Bacterial small subunit ribosomal RNA", at positions 64 to 524 of the family's 1533-position model. The record is from RNAcentral.